This 247-nucleotide ribosomal RNA is filed under the name uncultured bacterium. Its description in RNAcentral is "partial 16S ribosomal RNA". It matches the Rfam family "Bacterial small subunit ribosomal RNA", at positions 523 to 769 of the family's 1533-position model. The record is from RNAcentral.
AUACGGAGGGUGCAAGCGUUGUUCGGAAUUAUUGGGCGUAAAGCGCGUGUAGGCGGUUGUUUAAGUCUGAUGUGAAAGCCCUGGGCUCAACCUGGGAAGUGCAUUGGAAACUGGACAACUUGAGUAUGGGAGAGGGGAGUGGAAUUCCUGGUGUAGAGGUGAAAUUCGUAGAUAUCAGGAGGAACACCGGUGGCGAAGGCGACUUCCUGGACCAAUACUGACGCUGAGGCGCGAAGGCGUGGGGAGC